ACAUGGGGGCACCCUGACCGCAAUGCCGCGUGAGUGAAGAAGGCCUUCGGGUUGUAAAGCUCUUUUGUCAGGGAAGAAACAGCAGCUCUAACACAGCUGUGAAUGACGGUACCUGAAGAAUAAGCACCGGCUAACUACGUGCCAGCAGCCGCGGUAAUACGUAGGGUGCAAGCGUUAAUCGGAAUUACUGGGCGUAAAGCGUGCGCAGGCGGUUAUACAAGACAGGCGUGAAAUCCCCGGGCUUAACCUGGGAAUUGCGUCUGUGACUGUAUGGCUAGAGUGUGUCAGAGGGGGGUAGAAUUCCACGUGUAGCAGUGAAAUGCGUAGAUAUGUGGAGGAAUACCAAUGGCGAAGGCAGCCCCCUGGGAUAACACUGACGCUCAUGCACGAAA
Molecule: ribosomal RNA, 392 nt
Filed under: uncultured bacterium
Lineage: Bacteria
Description: bacterial SSU rRNA
Rfam family: Bacterial small subunit ribosomal RNA
Source: RNAcentral